GAAGAAGUCAUAGAGGUUCUGGGAUUGGCUUGAAACCAGUCUUUGGGGGUUGAAUUCCUUCCUUUUUCA
This is a non-coding RNA of Pongo abelii (Sumatran orangutan), 69 nucleotides long. NCBI's taxonomy places the organism in Eukaryota, Metazoa, Chordata, Mammalia, Primates, Hominidae. The record is from Rfam.